RNAcentral lists this ribosomal RNA (626 nucleotides) under Escherichia coli. Its description in RNAcentral is "partial 23S ribosomal RNA". It matches the Rfam family "Bacterial large subunit ribosomal RNA", at positions 977 to 1606 of the family's 2925-position model. Lineage: Bacteria; Pseudomonadati; Pseudomonadota; Gammaproteobacteria; Enterobacterales; Enterobacteriaceae. The record is from RNAcentral.
ACGGGAGACACACGGCGGGUGCUAACGUCCGUCGUGAAGAGGGAAACAACCCAGACCGCCAGCUAAGGUCCCAAAGUCAUGGUUAAGUGGGAAACGAUGUGGGAAGGCCCAGACAGCCAGGAUGUUGGCUUAGAAGCAGCCAUCAUUUAAAGAAAGCGUAAUAGCUCACUGGUCGAGUCGGCCUGCGCGGAAGAUGUAACGGGGCUAAACCAUGCACCGAAGCUGCGGCAGCGACACUAUGUGUUGUUGGGUAGGGGAGCGUUCUGUAAGCCUGUGAAGGUGUGCUGUGAGGCAUGCUGGAGGUAUCAGAAGUGCGAAUGCUGACAUAAGUAACGAUAAAGCGGGUGAAAAGCCCGCUCGCCGGAAGACCAAGGGUUCCUGUCCAACGUUAAUCGGGGCAGGGUGAGUCGACCCCUAAGGCGAGGCCGAAAGGCGUAGUCGAUGGGAAACAGGUUAAUAUUCCUGUACUUGGUGUUACUGCGAAGGGGGGACGGAGAAGGCUAUGUUGGCCGGGCGACGGUUGUCCCGGUUUAAGCGUGUAGGCUGGUUUUCCAGGCAAAUCCGGAAAAUCAAGGCUGAGGCGUGAUGACGAGGCACUACGGUGCUGAAGCAACAAAUGCCCUGCU